Molecule: long non-coding RNA, 1202 nt
Organism: Vicia villosa (hairy vetch)
Lineage: Eukaryota; Viridiplantae; Streptophyta; Magnoliopsida; Fabales; Fabaceae
Exons: 6
Source: RefSeq, a predicted model, not a curated record
UUCAAAAGACCCAUACCUUUUCCAAUUUGACAAUAUUUUUUGUAUCUUCCUUGAAAACACAAAUAUAUGAUUUCCCUAAGUCUACCAUCUUUGUACUCAACCUCAAACAACUCUCUUUUUUUUCUUCCACUUUCUCUCUUCACCCUUUUAUGUAGGUAGUUUUUUUCCACUUUCUCUCUUCACCCUUUUAUGUAGGUAGUUUUUUUCCACUUUCUCUCUUCACCCUAUUAUCCUUCUUCGGCUGUUAUUUUCUUUCUUCCAUUUUCUUUCUUUUUACCAUUUGCUAUGCCGAUGAGUGUGGUGGUGGUGGUGGAAACGGGUUUCCGAUAAUGAGUGUGGUGGUGGUGGAAACUGAUUUCCAGCGACGAUUGUGGUGGUGGUGGAAACGGGUUUCCGGCGACGAUUUUAUGUUUUAUUUUUAUUUUUAGAUCUGUAAAAAUACUGUGGACAAAAUUGUGUAUGUAUAUAAUAAUUUGAUGAAGUUUCAUGUUUUUAUGUUAUGAAGUUAAAGAUUAAUUUACAUUGUAUAUAUUUUUCAGUCAUAGGUUGAAAUGAUCCAAAGAGGUUUGAAGAUUGAGUAUUAAUAAAAUUUGAUUUAUAAAAGAUUGCAUAUGAGGUUUUAGAUCUGGAGCUAAUAACAGAUCAAAACUCAAAAAGAAAAUAUCACAUGAGACAUUUUAUGUUUUGGAGUUUUUAUGGGAAUGAUGACUUUUUAUGCUUCAACAAAAAUUUUGAGUUUGCAUCUAAGCUAAGAUGUAGAACAUACCCACUUGAUGAUUGGGAUUUGCAACAUAACUAUAAUGCAGAAUUAUGUAUUCAUUGCCAUAUGCUACAACUCUCUCACCCUCUAAUCUGCUAUAGAAUCAGUAGGUAUAAAGUACUAAAUACUUGGAAUUAGUGAAAAAAAGAUUUGAGGAAAUUCUAAACAAUUAAAGAUACUCAAAUAUUCCUAAAGAUUCUCGAAUAUCCCUAAAACAGGUCUGUAGUGGAGUGUCCUCAUCUUCUAAGGGGUCAAAUCCCUAACAUUUAAAGUCUCUUUUGCAUUAAGUUUUGCAUUAAGAAGAAGUUGAAAAGAGAGAAAGAGAUAAGAAAGAAGAUGAAAAGAGAUAAAUAGAUGAGAAAUAUAGAGAAUUGUAGUAUUGAUCAAAUAUUUUUGUUUUAUUUUCGAUUUUAAAUAAUUUUUGCCCAAUUCUCUUUUUAAA